CAGCAGCCGCGGGAAUACGGAGGGGGCUAGCGUUGUUCGGAAUUACUGGGCGUAAAGCGCACGUAGGCGGCUUUGUAAGUUAGAGGUGAAAGCCCGGAGCUCAACUCCGGAGUUGCCUUUAAGACUGGAUCGCUUGAAUCAUGGAGAGGUGGGUGGAAUUCCGAGUGUAGAGGUGAAAUUCGUAGAUAUUCGCAAGAACACCAGUGGCGAAGGCGGCUCACUGGCCCGAUACUGACGCUGAGGUGCGAAAGCGUGGGGAGCAAACAGGAUUAGAUACCCCUGUAGUCCCUGUCUCUUAUAU
This 301-nucleotide ribosomal RNA is filed under the name uncultured bacterium. RNAcentral's name for it is "partial 16S ribosomal RNA". It matches the Rfam family "Bacterial small subunit ribosomal RNA", at positions 509 to 809 of the family's 1533-position model. The record is from RNAcentral.